GAUGAACGCUGGCGGCGUGCCUAAUACAUGCAAGUCGAGCGAACAGACGAGGAGCUUGCUCCUCUGACGUUAGCGGCGGACGGGUGAGUAACACGUGGAUAACCUACCUAUAAGACUGUGAUAACUUCGGGAAACCGGAGCUAAUACCGGAUAAUAUAUUGAACCGCAUGGUUCAAUAGUGAAAGACGGUUUUGCUGCCACUUAUAGAUGGAUCCGCGCCGCAUUAGCUAGUUGGUAAGGUAACGGCUUACCAAGGCAACGAUGCGUAGCCGACCUGAGAGGGUGAUCGGCCACACUGGAACUGAGACACGGUCCAGACUCCUACGGGAGGCAGCAGUAGGGAAUCUUCCGCAAUGGGCGAAAGCCUGACGGAGCAACGCCGCGUGAGUGAUGAAGGUCUUCGGAUCGUAAAACUCUGUUAUUAGGGAAGAACAAAUGUGUAAGUAACUAUGCACGUCUUGACGGUACCUAAUCAGAAAGCCACGGCUAACUACGUG
RNAcentral lists this ribosomal RNA (497 nucleotides) under uncultured bacterium. RNAcentral's name for it is "partial 16S ribosomal RNA". It matches the Rfam family "Bacterial small subunit ribosomal RNA", at positions 28 to 507 of the family's 1533-position model. The record is from RNAcentral.